GAGGAACUCAAACUGCCCUCCCUAAAGUGGGUGGGCCUCAUCCAAUCAGUCGAAGGCCUGAAUAGAACAAAAAGGCCAACCCUCCCCCAAAUAAACGAGCCCUCCUCUCACCUGACUGCCUUCAACCAGGACCUCGCUUCUUUCCUCUGGGUCUCGAGCCUGCUGGCCUUCAGACUAGAAUUACACCAUCAGCUCCCAGGUUCUCAGGCCUUCGAACACGGAUUGGAAAUAAACCGCUGGCUCUGCCGGGCCUGCAGCUCGCCAGCUCUCUCCGCGAUUCCUGGGACUCGUCAGCCUCCACGACUGCCCGAGCCAGUUCCUUAUAACAAAUCAAUCAAUGAGUAAAUUCAAAUCCUGUUAGUUCUCCUUCUCUGGAGAAACUUGACGGACACAGCAGCGUACCGCCAACCUCGCUCGAGAAAGAGAGACGUUAAAACCGCCAGCACCCCAUCUCGGCCCCAGGUCCAAGGCAAUCAGACCCACAGUGAAUUAGGCUGAAAGUUCAGAAAGCCUCGCACUGGAAGAGGACGUGAGAGAAAGAAAGAGAGAGAGACACAUCCUCGCCCUUGGCCUGCUGGUCCAUGCUGCUGCUCGGCUCCAGGAACCCCGCCCUCAGGACAGCUGGAGGGAUCCCGUUCAAGACGUCUGCCUCGCUCCUUGUCCUCGGACUCCCCCACCCCAGUGUGGUGGGGGUGGGGUGGUCAGAGGACCAACGGCUGUACGGCUGGAGCAGCUCUGGGCAGGAGGAAGGUCCCAGCCUGUGGCUGAGAGUCCUGGAGCCCCAGCACCUUCCAGGCAGCGUCCUGCGCUGCUGUGCUGGCAGAAGCCGCGCCCUUUCCACCUGCCCCUGGAACGGAGGCCUUCAGUCUGGGCGCCGGGCCCGCUUUCCCAGGAGUAGAGUUACAGCAGCUGGUGCAGCCAACAGGUGUGGGCUCCCCGUUACAGCUGCUGCUGAGCACAUCUGUACCCAUGGGCAGAGGGCUCCAGCAGCAGGGCCCGCC
Molecule: long non-coding RNA, 1001 nt
Filed under: Equus caballus (horse)
Lineage: Eukaryota; Metazoa; Chordata; Mammalia; Perissodactyla; Equidae
Description: lncRNA (ENSECAG00000045119.1)
Source: RNAcentral